GGAAGGAUGGUCCAGUGGUUAGGGCACUAAUCUGGAAAUUGGGAGACCUGGGUUCAGCUCCCUGCUCUGCCA
Molecule: transfer RNA, 72 nt
Filed under: Chelonia mydas (Green sea turtle)
Lineage: Eukaryota; Metazoa; Chordata; Testudines; Cheloniidae
Rfam family: tRNA
About the family: Transfer RNA (tRNA) molecules are approximately 80 nucleotides in length. Their secondary structure includes four short double-helical elements and three loops (D, anti-codon, and T loops).
Source: Rfam by way of RNAcentral